This 483-nucleotide ribosomal RNA is filed under the name uncultured bacterium. Its description in RNAcentral is "partial 16S ribosomal RNA". It matches the Rfam family "Bacterial small subunit ribosomal RNA", at positions 30 to 506 of the family's 1533-position model. The record is from RNAcentral.
AUUGAACGCUGGCGGCAGGCCUAACACAUGCAAGUCGAGCGGAUGAAGGGAGCUUGCUCCUGGAUUCAGCGGCGGACGGGUGAGUAAUGCCUAGGAGUCUGCCUGGUAGUGGGGGAUAACGUCCGGAAACGGGCGCUAAUACCGCAUACGUCCUGAGGGAGAAAGUGGGGGAUCUUCGGACCUCACGCUAUCAGAUGAGCCUAGGUCGGAUUAGCUAGUUGGUGGGGUAAAGGCCUACCAAGGCGACGAUCCGUAACUGGUCUGAGAGGAUGAUCAGUCACACUGGAACUGAGACACGGUCCAGACUCCUACGGGAGGCAGCAGUGGGGAAUAUUGGACAAUGGGCGAAAGCCUGAUCCAGCCAUGCCGCGUGUGUGAAGAAGGGCUUCGGAUUGUAAAGCACUUUAAGUUGGGAGGAAGGGCAGUAAGUUAAUACCUUGCUGUUUUGACGUUACCAACAGAAUAAGCACCGGCUAACUUCGU